RNAcentral lists this ribosomal RNA (204 nucleotides) under uncultured bacterium. Its description in RNAcentral is "partial 16S ribosomal RNA". It matches the Rfam family "Bacterial small subunit ribosomal RNA", at positions 1298 to 1500 of the family's 1533-position model. The record is from RNAcentral.
UUGUAGUCUGCAACCCGACUACAUGAAGCUGGAAUCGCUAGUAAUCGCGGAUCAGAAUGCCGCGGUGAAUACGUUCCCGGGUCUUGUACACACCGCCCGUCACACCAUGGGAGUCGGAAAUGCCCGAAGUCUGUGACCCAACCAUUAAGGAGGGAGCAGCCGAAGACAGGUCGGAUGACUGGGGUGAAGUCGUAACAAGGUAAC